Molecule: ribosomal RNA, 855 nt
Filed under: Marinilactibacillus sp. CR-4
Lineage: Bacteria; Bacillati; Bacillota; Bacilli; Lactobacillales; Carnobacteriaceae
Description: bacterial SSU rRNA
Rfam family: Bacterial small subunit ribosomal RNA
Source: RNAcentral
UGCAAGUCGAACGAUGAAAUCCUCUGCUUGCAGAGGAUGGAUUAGUGGCGAACGGGUGAGUAACACGUGGGUAACCUGCCCAUAAGAGGGGGAUAACAUUCGGAAACGGAUGCUAAUACCGCAUAGGUCUUUGAGACGCCUGUCUCUUAGAUGAAAGGUGGCUUCGGCUGCCGCUUAUGGAUGGACCCGCGGCGUAUUAGCUAGUUGGUGAGGUAAUGGCUCACCAAGGCUGUGAUACGUAGCCGACCUGAGAGGGUGAUCGGCCACACUGGGACUGAGACACGGCCCAGACUCCUACGGGAGGCAGCAGUAGGGAAUCUUCCACAAUGGGUGAAAACCUGAUGGAGCAAUACCGCGUGAGUGAAGAAGGUCUUCGGAUCGUAAAGCUCUGUUGUUAGAGAAGAACAAGUCGGGUAGUAACUGCCCCGACCUUGACGGUAUCUAACCAGAAAGUCACGGCUAACUACGUGCCAGCAGCCGCGGUAAUACGUAGGUGACAAGCGUUGUCCGGAUUUAUUGGGCGUAAAGCGAGCGCAGGCGGUCUUUUAAGUCUGAUGUGAAAGCCCACGGCUCAACCGUGGAGGGUCAUUGGAAACUGGAAGACUUGAAUGCAGAAGAGGAAAGUGGAAUUCCAUGUGUAGCGGUGAAAUGCGUAGAUAUAUGGAGGAACACCAGUGGCGAAGGCGACUUUCUGGUCUGUAAUUGACGCUGAGGCUCGAAAGCGUGGGGAGCGAACAGGAUUAGAUACCCUGGUAGUCCACGCCGUAAACGAUGAGUGCUAAGUGUUGGAGGGUUUCCGCCCUUCAGUGCUGGAGCUAACGCAUUAAGCACUCCGCCUGGGGAGUACGGCCGCAA